AGUGGCGAACGGGUGAGUAAUGCAUCGGAACGUGUCUUUAAGUGGGGGAUAACGCAUCGAAAGGUGUGCUAAUACCGCAUAAUCUCUGAGGAGAAAAGCAGGGGAUCGUAAGACCUUGCGCUUUUAGAGCGGCCGAUGUCUGAUUAGCUAGUUGGUAGGGUAAAGGCCUACCAAGGCGUCGAUCAGUAGCUGGUCUGAGAGGACGACCAGCCACACUGGGACUGAGACACGGCCCAGACUCCUACGGGAGGCAGCAGUGGGGAAUUUUGGACAAUGGGGGCAACCCUGAUCCAGCCAUGCCGCGUGAGUGAAGAAGGCUCUGGGUUGUAAAGCUCUUUUGUCCGGAAAGAAAUUGUACAGACUAAUACUCUGUAUGGAUGACGGUACCGGAAGAAGAAGCACCGGCUA
Molecule: ribosomal RNA, 408 nt
Filed under: uncultured eubacterium 3-7
Lineage: Bacteria; Pseudomonadati; Pseudomonadota; Betaproteobacteria
Description: bacterial SSU rRNA
Rfam family: Bacterial small subunit ribosomal RNA
Source: RNAcentral